UACAGAGGGUGCAAGCGUUGCUCGGAUUUACUGGGCGUAAAGCGUACGCAGACGGUGAGAAAGGUCGGAUGUGAAAGCCCCAGGCUCAACCUGGGAACUGCAUCCGAAACCAUCUCGCUCGAGUGUGGGAGAGGGAAGCGGAAUUCCUGGUGUAGAGGUGAAAUUCGUAGAUAUCUGGAGGAACACCGGUGGCGAAGGCGGCAUCCUGGACCGGCAUUGACGCUGAGGCGCGAAAGCCAGGGGAGCAAACGGG
This 253-nucleotide ribosomal RNA is filed under the name uncultured bacterium. RNAcentral describes it as "partial 16S ribosomal RNA". It matches the Rfam family "Bacterial small subunit ribosomal RNA", at positions 524 to 776 of the family's 1533-position model. The record is from RNAcentral.